GAGAAACUGUCGUGACGUCAGUUACAUGGACUGGAAUGUUCUUAAAGAUGGAGACAGGGAUUCAGAAAGAGAAACACCAGGGGGAGAUGAGGGGGCUCCUCAUCUCAACGACCAAAACACAACUUCAGUCUGACACGGAGAACCAUGGAACACAUUCAACAGUCCCCUCCAGGCAUCGUGACUCCUCAGGAACAGUUUCAUUUCCAAGAAGGUCUUAUUUGGGGCCAUCCCCAUAUGGAUCCUGCUCCUCAAGAGCCACCCCCCUCCACUGAGUGGUCUUCUGAACAGAUGACCUCCUUCCUGUCCUCAGGCCGACUAAAGCUGCAACGUUUGCAUCUGUGAAGGCCCCUCUUUCAGGAAACCACAGGACUACAAAGACAUGACUUCAGAGAUGUUGAAUCAACCUGGGACAAAUUUUUGGAGACGCCAAGCAUAAUCCAUCACCAAUGUGGGACGCCACUGAAGAAUGUUGUACAUAAAUUACGUCUCUUGAGACAUUGGUUGUUCUGUUCUGGGUGCCCUGGCAGGAGAGCUGGGGGGGGGUGAUGGAAUGUUAUUUGGCAUGAGGUUUUUACCCUGCAUGAUUGUUUGGCCUUUUAUGGCUCAGUGGUGUGUGUUUGGGUUUGACAUGAGAUGGAAGAUUUUUGAGCAUCUCUAGGGUUCUACUGGGUGUGUGUGUGUGUGUGUCUCCCACUCACACCUGACAUGGGGUUCUACGUGCCUGUCCUGGGUUCUAUGUGUGUGUGUGUGUGUGUGUGUGUGUGUGUGUGUGUGUGUGUGUGUGUGUGUGUGUGUGUGUGUGUCCGGCUUGCUUUGACAGUGAUAAUGUUCAUACAGGGUCUGUGUGAUUGGCUUGGGAUAUUGGAAUGGUCAACUAAAUCAUACCUGAUGGACGGCCACACGUUUACUUAAGGGCUUCCAGUGGACAUGAAGAGCCCUGAGCGACGCUCCGGAGCGAGAUCCAACACACUGGGCAGGAAGGAGAGUACCCAACUCAAGUGUAAAAGGAUGCAAGCGGCGUGUUCAGAUCACAAAGAAAAAUAUGUUUUCAGGAAGAGGUUCUGUGCGAGAGGUUCACGACCGACGCAGAGUUGUCAAACUAGGACUACACCAAUCAGGAUCAAUGGAGGAUGGACACCAAAAGGAAUUCCACAAGGAGAGUCUGACGUUGGAAAGGGACCUAAAUGGAUAUUCAAGAUGACCUUCAGACCUGUAAUGAGACGGCUCUUCCUACCUGGCUGGAUUGAUGGAGAGCCCUGUGGAUCUUGUCUUGCUCUCAGUUGCACGUCUUCUCAGGCUGAACUGUAUUUGUUUCGGACAGGACUAGUUGAACGAUUGGUUCCCUUAAAUCAGAACCAAUCCGGGAACUCCAGCUAGUGCGCUCUUCGAGCUGAAGUUGUGCUCUUCAGCUGAGGAGGUAAGGAAACCUUUACUGGGGCUUCAAGGUGUAAAGAGGAGAAUGUUUCAAAGUGUUCCAUGGUACUCUGAUGAAGACCGUUGUUGUGUUCGACUGGCUGAGAGGAAGAACCCACACAUCUUCCUCUUGGCCUUUCUCCUCUGAGAAUCCUGGCGCCAUCUUGAAGGAUAUUCCAGCUCAUGUAACUGAUGUCGCGACAGAUUCUCAAACACUUGGUUUCUCCUGAGGGGCGUGUCUAUAGAACUGAAGACUUCAGACGGCACUGUAUCCCAGCAUGCAUCUCUGCUCACUCAGACCACACCCCCAUGAGUAGGAUGCAACACUCUAGUGAUGGAGAUGUAGAGUUUUAUAAGUAACGAGGGAGCAGUCUGUAAAUCUUUAAACUAUGCAGAUGGUUGGAUAGUUCAGGAAUAUGGCUUAUUUUUAUUAUGGGCAGUCCUUUCACUCGGAUGCCCACUUCUCACUGGAGCUGUACAUGUGUUGGCUGGCUGGCAUGAUUUGCUGUUGGUGAUGAGGCGGUCAGGGUGACGUUGCAGGGCUAUGGUCGGCUCUCUGUGAGCUCAACGUUUAGAUUUGCUCUGCAUGGUUUGUACCCUGAAUAAUCUAGAUAAUUGUAAAAUGUAGACACGGUUUUCUAUUGAAUGAUUCCAGGAUUUUAAUUUUAAAGUUGUUGUGGGACGUACAUGGUAGUUUGGUUCUUUGUAUGGUUUUGAGUGAUAACUUGUACACACUGGGUGCAUAAUAAUGUAAAGGUACACUGAAUAGUAUUAAUGACCAACAGCAACAAACAGAUCUCCUCAAGGUAAGUCUGUUGGCUGUAUUUUAAUGAAGACCAUCGCUGGACUUCAGGAUCUUCCUCCGUUCAGCUCAAGGUGAGGCGCUGGUUAUGUUUUUUCUUUGGUUGGUUCCGGCCGGAAUGUUCGGAUUCCUGUCGGACGGUUUGUGCUUCCCGCCGGGAAGUUUCUGAGUGCGGUCACUUGAUUUAGUCCCAAUGGUUAGCAUAGAAAGUUGUAGUCUUGACAACCAUAAGAAACCACCUGGCAGUUAGUUUGACGGGAGUCCCCUGAGGGAAUCUGGCGGAACGUUCUGGAUUGUAUUUGCGUAACCUCGAGCCGUUGUCAACGGAAACUAUUUUUCAGUCUGUUUCCAUUGGGAAUUGUUUGAUAUUUGAUAUUACAUUUUGUUUGAUAUUAAAUACAUACUGACACGUACGUCGUACAAUAUGUUAAUUUCCGAUGGUUGCGGCGUACUUUUAACCACGUUGACGUGACGGGACUCUCACUGCGUACAAAACUGCGUUCUACUUGCGGGCCCAUUUUUGACAUCAAGGAAGGCUGAAAAUCAUUUCAAGGUGGAAGAUAAUUUGACAUUUCUUCAACGGAAUCCAGCACCUGAAUAUGGCUGAGUAUAUUUGAUUUAAUAUCGAUACUGCUUAGUGUUCUUUGUUACUUCAGCUUUUGUACGUUCUAAAUAUCUGCUGUCAUUAAUUGCCACAGAAGUUAAACCCUAGCCAAUGGAAUGAAGUUAAACGACGACUUUGGUGCAGAGUUACCAACUAGAUAAUAUCAAAGCUAAAAUAAUGGCCGUCAUUCCCACAUGUUACAGUAGAAGAUACUCUAGAACUGUACAAGGUUAAAAAGGUAACAUGUAGUUUGUCCCAAGGUGUCUGCCUCCUCACCCAGAGCCAGACCUCCACCUCCUCACCAAGAGCCAGACCUCCACCUCCUCACCCAGAGCCAGACCUCCACCUCCUCACCCAGCAGACCUCCACCUCCUCACCCAGAGCCAGACCUCCACCUCCUGUCAGAAGUCCUCCAGAACAGGUCAGUGCUCUGGGUGAGUAGAGUCUUCUCAGGUUAGUUUUAAUGCAUGGCCUUAACCACUUCUUUAAACUUGUGGACUGCUGUCUUCAUUCCUCUGCUAGUCUUUUGUAGCUGAAAGGCGAGGCUGAGAGGCUGGGGACCGGAGGCUUGUGGUGCCAGGGUGGACCGGAGACUGAGGCUGGAGAACAGGGGCCUGCAGCACCGGACCAGAGGGAAUCCAUGGCUGAAGGAGCUGAUGGAGGAGCCGUGCUGAAGGCCCUGGGCUGGUGGAGGAGCUGGUGGAGGGCCUGCCUGGGGAAUGACGUCUAUCGUGGGUUAGAUGGAGCCUGACUCUGAAGUGAUCAUCACACUCACUGCCACUUCUAGUAGAAUACUGCUACCACAAACUACCGGCGUUUGUACCAUAUAUACCAGACGACUACAUCUGUUUUACCACAUGUUGAAGCAAGACUUCCGCUGUUUGUUCCAGACCAGGACUCUGUCUGAGGAGAGCUGCUGGAGGAGCUGAGACGCUGGAGGACGACUAGGAAUCGACCAAAACGUGUUUCUGGAGCGGAGGCGAGCUGGUAGGGGAGCCGUGAAUCUGGAGGAUGACAUCACUCUACCAACAAGGAUUACUUUAGGGCCAGACUCACGCUGUUUGUUCCAGACCAGGACUCUGGCUGAGGAGAGCUGAUGGAGGAGCCAAGACACGAGCCAAGAGGACGACAUCACUCCACCAACCAGGAUCCUCACCAGGAAUCUGGAUGACUGAUGGAGAAGCCGUACAUCUGGAAGGCAAAUCCUGAGGACCACCAGGACUCUACCAUCAAGGACUAGACACACCUGAGCUGAACCUCACCUGAUCCUGUUUGGUCGGGGGUAGACACACCUGAGCUAAACCCGCCCUGAUCCUGACAUCCUGCUGGUCCUGUCUCCUCAGUUCAUCUGAGCCUCGUCCUCCAGAAGACCUGCUGAGCUCAGCAGUCUGAGGCUGAUGGAUCAAUGACCUCCAGUGGGAGUGAUCUUCUUGACCCCACAUGUAACCGUGUGCUUCCACACGCCUUUCCCUCACGUCUGUCACUAACCUCACUACUUCACUACUCUCUACUGCUUCCUCUUUUCUUCCUUCUCUGUGGUUCGAACCUUUACACGGAAGGCGCGUCUUCCUGCCCUCAGAGGGUUCAGCGUUAGGGUUGAGAGUCAGGGUUUAGAGUCAGGGACAGAGCUGGUCAGGGAGGACUGCUUUUACACAAACCUCUUCACUUGCUUUCGGAAUGGUGGUGACAUUUUGAAAAGAUUCAUUUGGGAAAAUGUUUUCCUCUGCUUUCCUUUACAAAAUUGUAUUAAACUUCUGUCAAGUGUUUUUGUUUAUAUAUUAAAAUCGCACAUUGACUUCUACAUGUUU
Gadus chalcogrammus (walleye pollock) is the source of this 4627-nucleotide long non-coding RNA. RefSeq lists it as uncharacterized. Lineage: Eukaryota; Metazoa; Chordata; Actinopteri; Gadiformes; Gadidae. The transcript is spliced from 6 exons. The record is from RefSeq and is a predicted model, not a curated record.